UGAUAGGCUGCAUGUGUAAGCGCUGUGAGGCGUUCAGCUUGGCAGUACUAAUAGACCGAGGGCUUGACCAG
This 71-nucleotide ribosomal RNA is filed under the name Oscillospiraceae bacterium. RNAcentral describes it as "partial 23S ribosomal RNA". Lineage: Bacteria; Bacillati; Bacillota; Clostridia; Eubacteriales; Oscillospiraceae. The record is from RNAcentral.